This 779-nucleotide ribosomal RNA is filed under the name uncultured Actinomycetes bacterium. RNAcentral describes it as "bacterial SSU rRNA". It matches the Rfam family "Bacterial small subunit ribosomal RNA", at positions 37 to 845 of the family's 1533-position model. Lineage: Bacteria; Bacillati; Actinomycetota; Actinomycetes. The record is from RNAcentral.
GGGGGGCGUGCUAACUGCAAGUCGAACGGUGCAGCAAUGCACAGUGGCGAACGGCGGAGUAAUACAUGAACAACGUGCCCUAAAGACUGGGAUAGUCAGGGGAAACCCUGGGUAAUACCGGAUGUGGCCGCUUCUCGGCAUCGAGAGGCGAUUAAAUGGUUUUUCGCUUUAGGAGCGGUUCAUGGCCUAUCAGGUAGUUGGUGAGGUAAUGGCUCACCAAGCCGACGACGGGUAGCGGGUCUGAGAGGAUGAUCCGCUCGAGUGGGACUGAGACACGGCCCACACACCUACGGGUAGCAGCAGUUGGGAAUCUUGCACAAUGGGGGAAACCCUGAUGCAGCGACGCCGCGUGGAGGAUGAAGGAUCUAGGUCUGUAAACUCCUUUUUCAGGGAAAGACUUAGGACGGUACCCUGAGAAUAAGGACCGGCUAACUACGUGCCAGCAGCCGCGGUAAGACGUAGGGUCCAAGCGUUGUCCGGAUUUACUGGGCGUAAAGAGCGCGUAGGCGGCUCGUUAAGUGUGAAGUGAAAUCUCCAGGGCUCAACCCGGAAACUGCUUCGCAUACUGGCGAGCUGGAGUGAUGCAGAGGUUUGUGGAAUUCCUGGUGUAACGGUGAAAUGUGUUGAUAUCAGGAGGAACACCCAUGGCGAAGGCAGCAAACUGGGCAUCAACUGACGCUGAGGCGCGAAAGCGUGGGUAGCAAACAGGAUUAGAUACCCUGGUAGUCCACACCCUAAACGAUGGAUACUAGGCGUAAGAGGUAUCGACCCCUCUUGUG